GGCGCUCAACCCCGGUGGACUAGUGGUUAGAGCUUCCGCCUCAGAUGCGGGAGAUCAUGAGUUCGAUCCCUGGCUGAGUCA
Potamilus streckersoni is the source of this 81-nucleotide non-coding RNA. The record is from the annotation of a GenBank genome assembly. NCBI's taxonomy places the organism in Eukaryota, Metazoa, Mollusca, Bivalvia, Unionida, Unionidae.